GGGCGCAUGGCGCAGUUGGUUAGCGCGCAACGUUGACAUCGUUGAGGUCAUAGGUUCGACUCCUAUUGCGCCCACCA
Molecule: transfer RNA, 77 nt
Filed under: Candidatus Omnitrophota bacterium
Lineage: Bacteria; Pseudomonadati; Candidatus Omnitrophota
Also listed under: 1 other name
Description: tRNA-Val
Rfam family: tRNA
About the family: Transfer RNA (tRNA) molecules are approximately 80 nucleotides in length. Their secondary structure includes four short double-helical elements and three loops (D, anti-codon, and T loops). Further hydrogen bonds mediate the characteristic L-shaped molecular structure. tRNAs have two regions of fundamental functional importance: the anti-codon, which is responsible for specific mRNA codon recognition, and the 3' end, to which the tRNAs corresponding amino acid is attached (by aminoacyl-tRNA synthetases). tRNAs cope with the degeneracy of the genetic code in two manners: having more than one tRNA (with a specific anti-codon) for a particular amino acid; and 'wobble' base-pairing, i.e. permitting non-standard base-pairing at the 3rd anti-codon position.
Source: RNAcentral